This 883-nucleotide ribosomal RNA is filed under the name Capsala pricei. RNAcentral describes it as "eukaryotic LSU rRNA". It matches the Rfam family "Eukaryotic large subunit ribosomal RNA", at positions 52 to 658 of the family's 3401-position model. Lineage: Eukaryota; Metazoa; Platyhelminthes; Monogenea; Capsalidea; Capsalidae. The record is from RNAcentral.
GGAGGAAAACAAACUUAAACAGGAUUUUUCUUAGUUAACUGCGAGUGAACAGAGAUUAGCCCAACAUCGAAGCUCGCAAGCAUAUUGUUUGUUGAGCAAUGUGAUGUUAAGAUGUUUGUUAACGUAGACUGGCCGACUUGAAGUCCCAAAUUUGAAUGUGGCAUAUAUGUAUAAACCCAAAGAUGGUGAAAGGCCCGUUCAAGUUGGUAAUCAGACUUGACAGUUUGCGUGUAUGCAUUCAUCUUGGAGUCGGAUUGCUUGAGAGUGCAGUCCAAAGUUGGUGGUAAACUCCAUCUAAGGCUAAAUACCUGUACGAGUCCGAUAGUUAACAAGUACCGUGAGGGAAAGUUGAAAAGUACUCUGAAGAGAGAGUAAAUAGUACGUGAAACUACAUGGAGGUUAAUCAGAUAGAGUCAAGCUGCUUACUAUUAAACAUUGCUUUACAUGUUAAUAAAGUAAUAAAGGCAUAUACUGUAUACAGUGCAAUACUUGCCAGUCUAUUCUUAGACGGGUACUUUAUUGUAAAUAAUUUACCAAGUAUACAUGUGUAUAUGUCAACAUGUAUUGUUUAUGUUGAUAGUUAGUGCCACAAUCGUUUACCUGAUCAGAUAAUUUUAAUCAGCCGUGUUUGUUUUGAUUGCAAAAUCUAAAUGAACACAUGGUUGAACAGUUGGUUUGAUUACGUCUCUUCGGAGCGUUGUCUUACUAAAAAGGGUUACGACCCGUUGGUUAAAGUUAUAUUCUGUGUUGGUAAACGGUAAAACAUAUACAUGUUAAGUUUGUAAAUCAUAGUUCGACUUAAUGUAAAAGUUAUGUUGACUAUGUGCAAACGUGUAUGUUAAUUGUGGUUCUGUGGUAGACUUUCUAUUUGACCCGUCUUGAA